GACGAACGCUGGCGGCGUGCUUCAUAAAUGCAAGUCGAGCGGGGUCCAUCCAGUGGCAACACUGGUGAAGACCUAGCGGCGAACGGGUGAGUAACACGUGAGGAACCUGCCCCAGAGACCGGGAUAACCCUCCGAAAGGAGAGCUAAUACCGGAUGCCCCCACCGGAUCGCAUGGUCUGGUGAGGAAAUGGACUCCGCUCUGGGAGGGCCUCGCGGCCUAUCAGCUUGUUGGUGAGGUAACGGCUCACCAAGGCGUCGACGGGUAGCUGGUCUGAGAGGACGGUCAGCCACACUGGGACUGAGACACGGCCCAGACUCCUACGGGAGGCAGCAGUAGGGAAUCUUGCGCAAUGGGCGAAAGCCUGACGCAGCAACGCCGCGUGGGGGAUGAAGGCUCUCGGGUUGUAAACCCCUUUCAGCAGGGACGAUUAUGACGGUACCUGCAGAAGAAGGACCGGCCAACUACGUGCCAGCCGCCGCGGUAA
Molecule: ribosomal RNA, 485 nt
Filed under: uncultured bacterium
Lineage: Bacteria
Description: partial 16S ribosomal RNA
Rfam family: Bacterial small subunit ribosomal RNA
Source: RNAcentral